Prinia subflava (tawny-flanked prinia) is the source of this 4115-nucleotide long non-coding RNA. RefSeq lists it as uncharacterized. NCBI's taxonomy places the organism in Eukaryota, Metazoa, Chordata, Aves, Passeriformes, Cisticolidae. The transcript has 2 exons. The record is from RefSeq and is a predicted model, not a curated record.
GCAGGGGGAUCGGGGGGCAGCGGGGAUCGGGUCAGCGGGGAUGGGGCCGCAGCCCCCCCGGCCGCUCCCCGCGGUGCUCCCCGGGCUCCCCCGCCCUCCCUCGCUGGGCCCUGCCUGCCCAGCCUCCUAAUCUGCGCUAAGUGGCACUGCCGAUGGAGGCCGCGAUAAAUUUAGAAAGAAAUCUUUGUGUGGGUCAGAGGAGGAACGCGGCGGCCCCGGGGAGCCGCGCUGGGCGGGCGCUCCGCUCUCCCCGGGCUCGUCCCGGCGAUUUCUCGGCGCUGCGAGGGCUCCGGGAUCUUUGGGUGCUGCCCAAAGCCAGAGGCAGCCACGGCGCUCAGAGUCAGAACAGGGCAACCAGAGGUGGAACCCUUUCCCCAACACCAGAAGCUGCCACUGGAAAAUUAACAGGAAAUCUAUUCCAAAACUCUGCGGUUUUCCUUCUCCAGAAGAAAACCACAAAGGACUUUCAACAGGAAGAUCUUAACCCCGAGGAAUUUCUGCAUUUCUCCACUCUGACCCACAGCCAGCACCCCAGGCUCACCCAUUCUUGUCUUUCUGAAGAUGAGAAAGGAAUUUUGCAGCCUCACAGCGCUUCGGGUGUUCUUGGCACGCUGUGAAGGUGCAAAGAACCUUCCCUGUGGCUCCCUCAGGGGUGAGAGGGAGUUUGGGAGCUCAGGACAGCUCUGCACCACCCCGAGGCCCCAUUCUCUGCCCAUCUCGGGGUUUGCAAAACAUUAAAACAUUUUUAGACCCCAAUUCCUCAGCGCUGGCCUUCAGUCGAUCCCAGGGGUUGGAUAAUCUCAUUCACGUCUGUUACUACAAAUCAAACCAGCAGCAAAUUCAAUGGAUCUGAAGGCCAAGAUUAAAGGCUCCAAACACAGGGGAAGUGCCAAGAGCUGUAAAUAUAAUUUUUUUUGAGGGAGGGAAAGGAAAAGCCCUCCACAGAUGCUGUUCUUUUACCUGGAAAUCAAAGACAGAAUCGCGGAAUUUUUAAGGCUGGAAAAGACCUUUAAGAUCAACCCCAACCACUAAUCCAGUACUGCCAGGUGCACCAGCAUGGCUGGAAAAGGAGGAAAAAAACCCAAAAUGAGCUUAAUCAUCUCCCUUUUCCAGCUCUGGGAGAUGCCUUUGUGGCCAUCCGAUGGUGGCUGAGGUUUAGGCUGGCCUAAAGCUGCUGAGCCCAGGACACCGCUGGCUCCCUGCUGGCAUUUCAGGGGUGUCCUGGCCCCACUGAUGCUCCUCCAUCAGCCCCUGAGGGGGGACACGGGAUGUCACCAGAGCCCUCAGAGCCCCUGAACCCCCCGGCUCAGACCAAAAACCCUGCGUGGCCUCGAGGGAAUGAAACAGCAAAAACGGGAGAAGUCCUGAGGGGCUGUGCAGGAUCCGGCACUGGGAGAGAAGAUGGGAAAGGAACUGAUGUGAAACCCGCGUCAGAAAUGGCACUGGGGAUGUUCCUCAUUCCUGGAAUUCAGGCUCCAAUUCCUCUAUUCUCAUUAUUCUUCUAUAAUUCCUCGGUUUCGCCGAGCCCGGGGCUGGCUGCAGCACCGCUGGCUCUGGGCUGGGGCAGGACCGGAUUUUUGGGAGCGGCCCCUGCCAGGGCCGCGUUCCCCGGGCUGCAGCUGCCCUCUAGAGCCGGUCCGAGCGCUCUGGCGGGGCGCAGCCGGCAGAGAGCAGCAUCGGAGCACGGAUGUGCCGCCUCCGCCGCCCUCAAGGCCCGCAGGAUGCUCGGGGUGUGCAGAGCCGGGGCUCUCACCUGGCCCCGGCCCUCAGAAUGGGGAAUUAAUGACGGCAAACAGAGGAAUAAGCAGAUUUUCCCCACCCCAGCAUGGGCUGUUCGGCUGUGAAGGGCUGUGGCAGUGCAGGGCAGGGGUGUUCUCACUGGGAGGGGUGUGCUGGUUCUACUGGGAGAGGGUGAAACCUCCAACCGAGGGGCAGGGCUCAUAAAAAUGAACCAAAACUUGUUUGUGUUCACAAAUUUGGCCUCAGCAAUGCACAGAAGAAGCCACCUUCAACUGACAGUAGAAUUCUGGGGUAGUUCAGGUGGAAAGGUGUGACUUCACUGCUGGGAAAAAUCUCUGAUUUCAGCUGGCAGAAGGGUUUGGGGGCUGCUUGGGUGGGAAAUGGACACACACUGCAUUUAGUGUUGUAUUUGUAUUUGUAUUUGUAUUUGUAUUUGUAUUUGUAUUUGUAUUUGUAUUUCUAUUUCUAUUUCUAUUUCUAUUUCUAUUUCUAUUUCUAUUUCUAUUUCUAUUUCUAUUUCUAUUUCUAUUUCUAUUUAUCCCUAUUCCUAUUCCUAUUCCUAUUCCUAUUCCUAUUCCUAUUCCUAUUCCUAUUCCUAUUCCUAUUCCUAUUCCUAUUCCUAUUCCUAUUUUAUCCUGUUAUAUUUAUGUUAUUAUCCUAUUUUAAACAUGAUGUUUCCAUGCCCAUUCUUUUCCUGCCGAGGUUUCCAGGUGAGGCUCCCACCAGCCAAAGGCGCUGUGGGAGCAGAGUGGGAGCUCACGGACCAGGUGGGAGCACCUGCAUCAACCUCGAACCACGUUCGUGGGAAACCAGGCUGCUGCUGGAAACUGAAAUGGAUUCAAACCCCCCAAAACGGCCCCAAAAACGCAGCAGAGAGGCUGCAGGGGAUGGUGAGAGGAGGGGGUGAGGAAGGAAUGCGAGGGGGCUGAUAAGGAGGGAAUAAUAACAAAAACCUUUUCGGCUGGGCCAGGGCUGUUUACACACGGGCAAAAAACUUCCUGAGCUGGAAGUGCAGCUUUUUCCAGCUUUUUCUAGCCUUUUCCAGCCUUUUCCGCUGGCUCAGCACCGGCCCUGCUCUGCGUUUCCCUCAGUCUGGAGCCUCUGGAGGAACCUUUUGUUUUGCCAGAACACUUGACUGUAACUUUAUUGUCCCUGCUUGGCUGCAGGACAUCCCUGGGCUGUGAAAAGAGCACCUGAGGUUUGAUGGGCUCUGCAGCUGCUGCUGCAGCGCUGAUCAGAUAAAGACUGCAAGGAGAAAAUCACUGCCGGGAGAAAACCGGCCCCAGCUCCCUGUCCCACCUCCCCGGCUAAUCAAACCUCUUUUCCCGGGAAUGUAAUUGGGUUUUCCUGCAUCUGUUCCCCUGGCAGCCGGAGGUCAGGCUGCCCCAAAACGCAGCAGAGCAGGACUCAGUGUCCCCUGGGGGGUUCCUGGUGGGCCUGAGGCAGGGAAUCAGCCCUGGGGAGGCUCAGACAUCCCGGCAGGAGAGGGAAUCGGGAGAGGUCCCCGUUCCCAGAGCUGGUCCCCAUUCCCUCGGUGCAGCUCCAGCAUCCCCACAGGAGCAGGCACUAAGGGCCUCCCUGCGUCCCCCUGCACAUUUUGGGGAAGGAAAUGUUGCUGGUUUAUUGCAGAGUGCCCAGAGCGAGGAAACCCUCACAGAAUCCCGGGAUCACCGAGGCUGGAAAAUCCCUCUGGGAUCAUCGAGUCCAAACUGUGCCCACCCUGGGCACUCAGUGCCACCUCCAGGGGACACCUCCAGGGACGGGCACUCCAAACCUCCCUGGGCACUUCCAAGGAAUUCAGCAGGAAUUUCUCCAUGAGGAAAUUCCUGCUGCUGCCCACCCUGAGCCUACCCUGGUGCAGCUUCCCCGCCGUCGGCCCCGCACAUCACUCCGGAGUCUCAUUUAUUUCCCCAGGAAUUAUCUAAGUGUCCUAAACAUCAACAAACAAACCGAACAAACGAGGUGCUAACAGCCUGCCGCACGUCACUCAUCCUGCAGAGGUUUUUGGGGAGAGGAACGCGCUCAGAGCAAAGCAGAGCCUUCAGUCAUGGGAUUUCUGCUGGGAAAGAACCUCUCGGUGAGGAGUUGUCCCCCCGUCCUGCUGGCAGCAGCCAGAGCCUCGCAUCCCCGCAGGGAUAAACACGCUGCUGUUCCAAGGACACAACAGAGAAGCCGCUUUUUAGGACUUAAUUAUUUUUCUUUUUCAACCGGGAUUAUUUACAAUGAGGUCUGGGAGAAGCAAUUCACACCAAAGCAAACAGCCUGGAAUAUUUUAAUUGUGUUUGAGCGACUCUUGCACCCACAACAAACAGCCCCAGGUGGUGAUGGAUGCUGCUGUCACUGCUUUGAGCACUGUACCAGAAAAAAAAAAACAA